CUGGCUCCUGGUAAUGCAAUAUCUGAGGUAACCUAAGUGACCCCUGCUCAGAAUUUGGCCCAAGUUUAGAAUGUCUAUAUAAAGUCUCUUCAGACUUCAUGCUGAAAAUUAAGCACAAAAGAAAUACGGAUACAGGACGAGAAUAUAUAUAGGGUAAAAUACCAGCCACACUGAUAGGAAAAACUCCCACUGAUUUCAAUGGGGCCAGGAUUUCAUCCUUAAUUUACUGAUUUAUGGUGGAGCAAGGCAGAGCGAAACCAUUUCUUUAUUUCUUUGAGAUGAACAUUUCUCCUAAAGUGCAAGAGAAGAGUUACUAUAAAUGCCAGUACAGAUAGAAGUGUUGGAGAUGUUUGGCUGAAAGGAUUCAUGUUCAGCAGCAUGAUUGCUUGGUUAAGGCUAGUAACAAAACUUAAGAUGGAUUGAAGGGAAGAAGUGGGUAUCAUUUAUAACAAAGGUGCUCAUCUUGCCUUGUUGGCAUACCGGUCAACACUACUAGCAAAUGGAUUCAGCCCUGUGGAACUGCUGAUGGAAAGGAAGUUGAGAUCCAUCAUACCAACAAUCUCUUACCAACUAAACACUUUUUUGGCCUGAUUGCCUGAGACUACAGAAGAAGGAAGAGAAUUUAAAAAAACCCAUCAGAAAUGGGACUUUGACAUGUGCCAUAGAGUCAAAUUCCUGGGAGCACUGAAUUCAGGAUUCAGUUUGGGUGAAAGAUUCUAAAGAAAAGGGCACAGUGAGGGGAUGUGGCAGGACACUUGAAUCCUACUUUGUUAGGUUGGCAGAAGGAAUGAUCUGUUGGGACUUGUUAUUGUCCAAUACAUUCUGAUUGCUACCCUGAUCCUGAGCCUGUGAACAAUCCCCUGCUGCCCAGGGGUGAAAGUAACUUAAAGGACUUACCGGUAUGCCGGAGUCCUGAGCAGGGGCGUGGUCUCAACCAGAAGA
Molecule: long non-coding RNA, 942 nt
Organism: Mauremys mutica (yellowpond turtle)
Lineage: Eukaryota; Metazoa; Chordata; Testudines; Geoemydidae
Exons: 4
Source: RefSeq, a predicted model, not a curated record